Acanthochromis polyacanthus (spiny chromis) is the source of this 1278-nucleotide long non-coding RNA. RefSeq lists it as uncharacterized. The transcript is spliced from 3 exons. NCBI's taxonomy places the organism in Eukaryota, Metazoa, Chordata, Actinopteri, Pomacentridae. The record is from RefSeq and is a predicted model, not a curated record.
GAGGAGGAGGAGGAGGAUGAUGAGUUUGACAUCCACAUCAGAUCUCCAUUAUCCAGGGCCAGAGCAUCUCCUCCACAGCCUCCACCCACCCUGAGACCUGCACAGACACUUCCAUCGCCUCCAUCCACCCUGAGAACCAGUCAGACACCACCACCUGUAACUCGCUGCUCAUUGCCUACACUGCCUCCAACUACCCUUGGUUCUAUUCGAGACAACAUGUUCAUCCGCGUUCUUUCACUGCUUGAACAAAUUAAAGAGACUCAAAAAGUCCAUGGAAAAUUACUACAAACAAUUCUUCAGCAAGGUAGCAUUGUUGGUUCAUCAAUCUUCCCAUCCACCCCAGAGGGUUUCCCGCUUAAAACUGUGGGUGAUCUGCAAUCCAUUGAACAAAAAUUGGCUGAUCAGACCUUCAUGUCCGACUUGGUUGCAGCUGUGGCAGAUAUUGGUGGGUCGACGGUGGACGAGGCCACAAGAAGAAUUAUGACUUUCCUCUUGGACAACGGUUUGUCGCGACAGUACAACCUGUUGGGCUGCAAUGGAAAACGGGAGUUCAAGGCUCUGAGGAGGUUUAAAGAAGAACGCUAUGACCUCUACAGUCACUCGUAAGGAUGGGGAAAAGGCGGUUGGGAAGUGGCUCAUUGGUACUCGGGACCGUGGAGGAGAUAGACUGGCCCGGGCAACCAAAAAUGCAACACCGGAACAAGAACCUGAAAACGAGGAAAAUUAACUCGAUAAGGCCCAUCUACGCUCACCUGGCAAAAUUGGGAAGUAACAUUUCUUAAGAUUUUUAUAAAAAGGAGACCUCAGUAUUUGAAAAAAAUGGCAAACAAAAGACUGAAAACAAACCCCCAAAAACUGCUGUAGACCAACAAGAGAGCAUUUGUUUUUCUGUCUGUAGAAUGGACCUGUCUUGUGUCUUCUAUGCAUGGAAAACCAAAAGUAACAAACAUGGUUUGAGGCUGCUUCAUACGAGAGGUGACAGGACACGAUCUGUAUUAAGAAAAGGAUGAAUAGGGUCCUAUUCUAAUCUGGAAUUUCUCAUGGUGUGCAGAAACCCUGUAUAUAUUUUACUUAAAAAGGCGGACCUUUGUUAAAGAGUUUGACAAAAUACUUUUAUUUAUGUAUACUUUAAGUGUUUUUUUUUUGUUUUUUUUUGGCCAGUUCUAAAGGUUAAUUCAAUCUGGGUAAUGUGAAUCUUGGUAAUGUAAAAUGUACAUGUGUAAUGGGAGGCGUAAUUUGAAUAUGCUUAUGUUUUUAAAUGUAUUAGUUGUUUUACAU